This 252-nucleotide ribosomal RNA is filed under the name uncultured bacterium. RNAcentral describes it as "partial 16S ribosomal RNA". It matches the Rfam family "Bacterial small subunit ribosomal RNA", at positions 524 to 776 of the family's 1533-position model. The record is from RNAcentral.
UACGUAGGGUGCAAGCGUUAAUCGGAAUUACUGGGCGUAAAGCGUGCGCAGGCGGUUUUGUAAGUCUGACGUGAAAUCCCGGGCUCAACCUGGGAAUUGCGUUGGAGACUGCAAGGCUAGAAUCUGGCAGAGGGGGGUAGAAUUCCACGUGUAGCAGUGAAAUGCGUAGAGAUGUGGAGGAACACCGAUGGCGAAGGCAGCCCCCUGGGUCAAGAUUGACGCUCAUGCACGAAAGCGUGGGGAGCAAACAGG